CCGAGCGCAGCGAGACAACGUUGCGAACGCAACGGCCCGAAGGGCGCGUCCCGCAGGGGCGCGUAAUCCUCUCUCGCCGACCA
RNAcentral lists this small RNA (83 nucleotides) under Pantoea ananatis. RNAcentral describes it as "partial RtT sRNA". It matches the Rfam family "RtT RNA", at positions 48 to 130 of the family's 130-position model. From Rfam's summary of the family: This family represents a bacterial cis-regulatory element known as RtT RNA. The exact function of RtT is unknown although it is thought that it may be involved in changing the cellular response in relation to amino acid starvation. The record is from RNAcentral. Lineage: Bacteria; Pseudomonadati; Pseudomonadota; Gammaproteobacteria; Enterobacterales; Erwiniaceae.